GUGGGGAAUUUUGGACAAUGGGCGCAAGCCUGAUCCAGCAAUGCCGCGUGCAGGAAGAAGGCCUUCGGGUUGUAAACUGCUUUUGUACGGAACGAAACGGUCCGGGUUAAUACCCUGGGCUAAUGACGGUACCGUAAGAAUAAGCACCGGCUAACUACGUGCCAGCAGCCGCGGUAAUACGUAGGGUGCAAGCGUUAAUCGGAAUUACUGGGCGUAAAGCGUGCGCAGGCGGUUUUGUAAGACAGGUGUGAAAUCCCCGGGCUCAACCUGGGAACUGCACUUGUGACUGCAAGGCUAGAGUGUGUCAGAGGGAGGUGGAAUUCCGCGUGUAGCAGUGAAAUGCGUAGAGAUGCGGAGGAACACCGAUGGCGAAGGCAGCCUCCUGGGAUAACACUGACGCUCAGGCACGAAAGCGUGGGGAGCAAACAGGAUUAGAAACCCUAGUAGUCC
Molecule: ribosomal RNA, 450 nt
Filed under: uncultured bacterium
Lineage: Bacteria
Description: bacterial SSU rRNA
Rfam family: Bacterial small subunit ribosomal RNA
Source: RNAcentral